Macaca fascicularis (crab-eating macaque) is the source of this 117-nucleotide unclassified non-coding RNA. It matches the Rfam family "Metazoan signal recognition particle RNA". Rfam says of the family: The signal recognition particle (SRP) is a universally conserved ribonucleoprotein. It is involved in the co-translational targeting of proteins to membranes. The record is from Ensembl. Lineage: Eukaryota; Metazoa; Chordata; Mammalia; Primates; Cercopithecidae.
GCUGGGCAUGGUGGCUCAUGCCUGUAAUCUCAGGACUUUGGGAGGCUGAGGUGGGAGGAUUGCUUGAGGCCAGGAGUUCAAGACCAACCUGGCCAAUAUAGCAAGACCCCAUCUCUA